UACGUAGGUCCCGAGCGUUGUCCGGAUUUAUUGGGCGUAAAGCGAGCGCAGGUGGUUUAUUAAAUCUGGUGUAAAAGGCAGUGGCUCAACCAUUGUAUGCAUUGGAAACUGGUAGACUUGAGUGCAGGAGAGGAGAGUGGAAUUCCAUGUGUAGCGGUGAAAUGCGUAGAUAUAUGGAGGAACACCGGUGGCGAAAGCGGCUCUCUGGCCUGUAACUGACAUUGAGGCUCGAAAGCGUGGGGAGCAAACAGG
This 252-nucleotide ribosomal RNA is filed under the name uncultured bacterium. RNAcentral's name for it is "partial 16S ribosomal RNA". It matches the Rfam family "Bacterial small subunit ribosomal RNA", at positions 524 to 776 of the family's 1533-position model. The record is from RNAcentral.